RNAcentral lists this ribosomal RNA (253 nucleotides) under uncultured bacterium. Its description in RNAcentral is "partial 16S ribosomal RNA". It matches the Rfam family "Bacterial small subunit ribosomal RNA", at positions 524 to 776 of the family's 1533-position model. The record is from RNAcentral.
UACGGAGGAUCCAAGCGUUAUCCGGAAUCAUUGGGUUUAAAGGGUCCGUAGGUGGAUGAUUAAGUCAGGGGUGAAAGUCUGCAGCUCAACUGUAGAAUUGCCUUUGAUACUGGUCAUCUUGAAUUAUUAUGAAGUGGUUAGAAUAUGUAGUGUAGCGGUGAAAUGCAUAGAUAUUACAUAGAAUACCAAUUGCGAAGGCAGAUCACUAAUAAUAUAUUGACACUGAUGGACGAAAGCGUGGGUAGCGAACAGG